CCUGGCGGCACUAGCGCGGUGGUCCCACCUGACCCCAUGCCGAACUCAGAAGUGAAACGCCGUAGCGCCGAUGGUAGUGUGG
Molecule: ribosomal RNA, 82 nt
Filed under: Acinetobacter baumannii
Lineage: Bacteria; Pseudomonadati; Pseudomonadota; Gammaproteobacteria; Moraxellales; Moraxellaceae
Also listed under: 24 other names
Source: RNAcentral